This 78-nucleotide transfer RNA is filed under the name Amborella trichopoda. Its description in RNAcentral is "tRNA AMTR_s00054t00278690". The record is from RNAcentral. Lineage: Eukaryota; Viridiplantae; Streptophyta; Magnoliopsida; Amborellales; Amborellaceae.
CUACGAGUAGUACAAGUAGUAGUGGUACUACUACGAGUAGUACGAGUAUUACUAGUAGUACAUACUACUACUCGUAGU